Plutella xylostella (diamondback moth) is the source of this 1708-nucleotide non-coding RNA. NCBI's taxonomy places the organism in Eukaryota, Metazoa, Arthropoda, Insecta, Lepidoptera, Plutellidae. The record is from RefSeq and is a predicted model, not a curated record.
GCAACCUCUGGAGAGAGUUUGAAGAUAAUCAUGUUAAAUUAGAAACAUCACCUGACAAGUCGCAUGAUUAUUUCACUAAAAACAUCUACUAUACUACUAAAGUAUUGUAUGAGGAGUUUAUGCAAUGAUUUCUACAUUUGACACGUCUGACAUUCUCAAUAUCAUUGACAUAUCUUUUACAAGAAGAUUGUAGAGCCUAGGAGAGGUUCCACUUGCAGUAACAGCACAAAUUGCAGUGCAAAUGACAAAUUGACAUAUCUUUUACAAGAAGAUUGUGGAGCCUAGGAGAGGUUCUACUUGACAAACUGACAUAUCUUUUACAAGAAGAUUGUGGAGCCUAGGACAGGGUCCACUUGCAGGAACAGCACAAAUUGCAGUGCAAAUGACAAAUUGACAUAUCUUUUACAAGAAGAUUGUGGAGCCUAGGAGAGGUUCCACUUGCAGGAACAGCACAAAUUGCAGUGCAAAUGACAAAUUGACAUACUAUUUUUCUCGGCCGCCGACGGAGACCACCGGUGUAAGGGUGCAGUCUCCCACGGUUCCUGAGAGUUUCCAGACAUUCUCAAUAAUCUCACCUGCAGGGAAUUUGGGAAGCUGUCGUGCGCAGCAUGAAGCGUCAUCCGAAACAAGUAUUGACAUUAGAAGAGUUCUCGACACUUUUGACACAUUGAGGCUUGCCUUAACUCGAUGCUCCGUAUGCACGUACCUCAGUACGUCGUUUUGACACCGGGAAACUUCCUAGUUUGAGUACCGGAAUACCGUUACUUUUAUCAACAUGACAGAAAAUGACAUUGAAACCUGCAUUAAACAGAAUGACAACAAAUUACUAUGCCCCUUAAAAACCCUGUCUAUAGCCUCAAAACACAUGAGUCACUAUGCGACAUGCGUCUGAUUAUAAAUACCUAAUAACAUUAAAUACCUACUGUCGGUCUGAGACAAAGAUAUGCACAGACACAUAGGUCAAGUUACACGCACGCGACUCUUGGUUGUUUACAUGCGGCCAGGAAUGCUACGUUCGCAUUUUAUGCCCAGCUGGAGUAUCGACGAAACGCUUACAAUGCAUGAGAAUCAUUGCACUAGGUCAGGGCUGUGUUAUGAAAAUGAACAUUGACACAAUAAAACCUUAUAUUAUAUCAUCCCCACUGAAUAUAAAGCAAAGAUGCAAGAAGCGGCCGCGUACGCGAGAGGAGCCUCCGAUCGAGAUGACCCGGCGGAGGCCGGGAGUGAGUGAGUACAAGUGCAGUGUUGCUAAUGAGGUAGUGCCCUGUCAUAUACAAGUAGCCUCACCAGUGAAGUGUUGUGACUCAAAUCAAUCUUUGAACAAUCUAAAUAAAUCGACGUCCUCAUUCAUGAUAGACCAUACAGUGACAUUUGAUUAAGACAUUUUGCAUUAGAUUUUGUAAUUAUUUAUAGUUAGGAAUGGAACUAACUUGCACUAAACUAUUGUUACUGCACAUUGACUAACGUGAUGACAUGUAAAUAUUUAAGACUAGACUUAACCUUGAUUCAGUUAAUUAGUUAACCUAGGUAGCUUUCGUUCUCUUGGGUGGCAGUAUGUAUGAGCCACUCAUACAUGAGACUAUUUGAUGACAGCGCGUACAUGCGCGCCCUCAAUUAAGGAAGUCGUGACAUCUUUGUAAAUACACGAUUAUUACAUUUACGAUUAUUAUAAGUUUAAGCUUUAGUACAUUAUAGACCUUUAUACGUA